RNAcentral lists this ribosomal RNA (301 nucleotides) under uncultured bacterium. RNAcentral's name for it is "partial 16S ribosomal RNA". It matches the Rfam family "Bacterial small subunit ribosomal RNA", at positions 509 to 807 of the family's 1533-position model. The record is from RNAcentral.
CAGUAGCCGCGGUAAUACAGAGGGUGCGAGCGUUAAUCGGAUUUACUGGGCGUAAAGCGUGCGUAGGCGGCUAAUUGAGUUGGAUGUGAAAUCCCCGAGCUUAACUUGGGAAUUGCAUUCGAUACUGGUUAGCUAGAGUGUGGGAGAGGAUGGUAGAAUUCCAGGUGUAGCGGUGAAAUGCGUAGAGAUCUGGAGGAAUACCGAUGGCGAAGGCAGCCAUCUGGCCUAACACUGACGCUGAGGUACGAAAGCAUGGGGAGCAAACAGGAUUAGAUACCCCUGUAGUCCCUGUCUCUUAUAC